GUUAGGGUGGCAGAGCCCGGUAAUUGCAUAAAACUUAAACCUUUACCACCAGAGGUUCAAUUCCUCUCCCUAACA
This 75-nucleotide transfer RNA is filed under the name Xenogale naso (long-nosed mongoose). Its description in RNAcentral is "tRNA-Leu". It matches the Rfam family "tRNA". Rfam says of the family: Transfer RNA (tRNA) molecules are approximately 80 nucleotides in length. Lineage: Eukaryota; Metazoa; Chordata; Mammalia; Carnivora; Herpestidae. The record is from RNAcentral.